GAUGAAGAACGUAGCGAAAUGCGAUAAGUAAUGUGAAUUGCAGAAUUCAGUGAAUCAUCGAAUCUUUGAACGCACAUUGCGCCCGCCAGUAUUCUGGCGGGCAUGCCUGUUCGAGCGUCAUUUCAACCAUCAAGCCCCCGGGCUUGUGUUGGGGACCUGCGGCUGCCGCAGGCCCUGAAAAGCAGUGGCGGGCUCGCUGUCACACCGAGCGUAGUAGAUUUUAUCUCGCUCAGGGCGUGCUGCGGGUUCCGGCCGUUAAACCACCUUCAUAACCCAAGGUUGACCUCGGAUCAGGUAGGAAGACCCGCUGAACUUAAGCAUAUCAAAUAAGCGGAGGA
RNAcentral lists this unclassified non-coding RNA (338 nucleotides) under soil metagenome. RNAcentral's name for it is "partial contains 5.8S ribosomal RNA, internal transcribed spacer 2, and large subunit ribosomal RNA". The stretch from base 1 to 120 matches the Rfam family "5.8S ribosomal RNA", at positions 35 to 154 of the family's 154-position model. The record is from RNAcentral.